This 509-nucleotide ribosomal RNA is filed under the name uncultured bacterium. Its description in RNAcentral is "partial 16S ribosomal RNA". The record is from RNAcentral.
GGAGUUAGCCGGUGCUUCUUCUGCGAGUAACGUCACAGAUGUAAGGUAUUAACUUACACCCUUUCCUCCUCGCUGAAAGUGCUUUACAACCCGAAGGCCUUCUUCACACACGCGGCAUGGCUGCAUCAGGGUUUCCCCCAUUGUGCAAUAUUCCCCACUGCUGCCUCCCGUAGGAGUCUGGGCCGUGUCUCAGUCCCAGUGUGGCUGAUCAUCCUCUCAGACCAGCUAGGGAUCGUCGCCUAGGUGAGCCUUUACCUCACCUACUAGCUAAUCCCACCUGGGCUUAUCCAUCAGCGCAAGGCCCGAAGGUCCCCUGCUUUCCCCCGUAGGGCGUAUGCGGUAUUAGCAGUCGUUUCCAACUGUUAUCCCCCACAAAUGGGCAAAUUCCCAGGCAUUACUCACCCGUCCGCCGCUCGUCAUCUUCAAAAGCAAGCUUUUGAAAUGUUACCGCUCGACUUGCAUGUGUUAGGCCUGCCGCCAGCGUCAUCUGAGCAUGAUACAACUACUGA